UACGGAGGGUGCAAGCGUUGUUCGGAAUUACUGGGCGUAAAGGGCUCGUAGGCGGCCAACUAAGUCGGAUGUGAAAUCCCCAGGCUUAACCUGGGAACUGCAUCCGAUACUGGAUGGCUUGAAUCCGGGAGAGGGAUGCAGAAUUCCAGGUGUAGCGGUGAAAUGCGUAGAUAUCUGGAGGAAUACCGGUGGCGAAGGCGGCAUCCUGGACCGGCAUUGACGCUGAUGAGCGAAAGCUAGGGGAGCAAACGGG
RNAcentral lists this ribosomal RNA (253 nucleotides) under uncultured bacterium. Its description in RNAcentral is "partial 16S ribosomal RNA". It matches the Rfam family "Bacterial small subunit ribosomal RNA", at positions 524 to 776 of the family's 1533-position model. The record is from RNAcentral.